This is a long non-coding RNA of Lolium perenne, 1427 nucleotides long. RefSeq lists it as uncharacterized. Lineage: Eukaryota; Viridiplantae; Streptophyta; Magnoliopsida; Poales; Poaceae. The record is from RefSeq and is a predicted model, not a curated record.
AAAAAAUUUAUUCUUGUUCGCGUGCGACCGUCGUCUUCCUCCGCCCCCAAAUCGUCCUCCAGUGCGCCGGUCUUCCUCCUCCGCGUGCGAUGCCUAGUACCAGAGCAAGAUGAACAACGAAGCUAGGUCGUCCAGUCGGCUCCGAUCUACGGUAUCGGAGAAAGGGGCACCAGGCCCAUCAUCGGAAUCGAACGAAUCGUUCUCCUUCCCUUUCCCUUUGGAGCACCAGGCCCAACAUCCGAAUCGGAAGAUCAGUUCUUCUUCCACGCGAUUUAAGUGUAUGUGCUGCCGCCGUAAUCAUGGAUUGAUGACGCUGGUAAUUUCGACUCAUUCUUCAAUCCUGUCAUUAUACCCCGUCCUGUGAUUAUGACGAUUAAUCUGAGCGUUACUGUCAGUUCUCCCUUCUCUUUCAUAUAAAUAUGUGGACACAGCCCACGUCUUUCCUCAUUACAUCCAUCUCACAUUGGACGUCUCAUUAUUCAUCGAAGAUGCUCGUUGUUUAGGUUUGACUUUCUCCUUGCUUGCAAUCAUGUUCUUCGUAUCUGGUUACAUUUUCGCAAAAAAUAUGUACCCAAAUGACAUAUUCUUGCUUCCUUACUUCUUCCAGGGAUUGUCCUCAUAUUCUUGCUUCCUUACUUCUUCCAGGGAUUGUCCUCAUAUUCUUGCUUCCUUACUUCUUCCAGGGAUUGUCCUCAUCGUUUCUUCCAGAUUAUUAUUCACGGAUUCCUCUUACCAGUGUAAUAACCUUUAUAUUAUUUGACAAUGGCUGCUGGACAUCUACACUUGCUGACGCAUUCUUUACAGAUUGUUUCUUGUUUAUUUGUCCAUUUAAACUAGCUUCAUAGUGCGCCGUACCAUGUAAUUUCCAAAUUUUAACGAACAUCUGCAUGUAAGUACAUACUUCUACCUAGCUUUCCAUCUCAGUGUACCCGUUUAUAUAUCAUAGGAUGUACCUCUGAAGAAUAAAGGACAAAGCGUUGUCGAGCACGAACCGAAUUUAACGAUGGCCUAAUAAUCUUCAGGGAGGAUGGUGUUGCUGAUUUGUGUACUGAUGCAUGAUGGACAUCUCGAGAGGAUUUUGUCGGAACACUUGGUGUACUGUUUUGUAUUUUCGGACUCCCUUGAUUUUGUACAGCAGUCCUGGAUGGUGAGCUCUCAGCUAUUUGCCUGCUAGAAUAGCCCAGUUAAUAAGGUUACUUUGGAACAUUAGAAAUUUUAUGUAAUAGCUUUUAGUGUUUAUGGGCAAAUUUAUUAACAGAUUAGGUGUGCCCAUCUUUUUUUUGUUAAAUUGCUCCUUCGAAAAUACCCUUUGCUCCUUUAGCUAGCUCUAUGUAAGAGAUGUAUAUUCAUAUUGCUCAAUUGGAUACUUGAUCAAAUGCUCAUGUACGCUAAAAUAUUUAUCUGACAUACAAUUUUGUCCUGCUGCA